This 73-nucleotide transfer RNA is filed under the name Ignavibacteria bacterium. RNAcentral describes it as "tRNA-Ala". It matches the Rfam family "tRNA". Rfam says of the family: Transfer RNA (tRNA) molecules are approximately 80 nucleotides in length. Their secondary structure includes four short double-helical elements and three loops (D, anti-codon, and T loops). Further hydrogen bonds mediate the characteristic L-shaped molecular structure. tRNAs have two regions of fundamental functional importance: the anti-codon, which is responsible for specific mRNA codon recognition, and the 3' end, to which the tRNAs corresponding amino acid is attached (by aminoacyl-tRNA synthetases). tRNAs cope with the degeneracy of the genetic code in two manners: having more than one tRNA (with a specific anti-codon) for a particular amino acid; and 'wobble' base-pairing, i.e. permitting non-standard base-pairing at the 3rd anti-codon position. The record is from RNAcentral. Lineage: Bacteria; Pseudomonadati; Ignavibacteriota; Ignavibacteria.
GGGGAUGUAGCUCAGUUGGUAGAGCGCCUGCUUUGCAAGCAGGAUGUCGCAGGUUCGAAUCCUGUCUUCUCCA